RNAcentral lists this long non-coding RNA (27283 nucleotides) under Capsicum annuum. RNAcentral's name for it is "long non-coding RNA (CANN_LNC001892)". Lineage: Eukaryota; Viridiplantae; Streptophyta; Magnoliopsida; Solanales; Solanaceae. The record is from RNAcentral.
GUACGAAGCCCCCUUUCAGUGAAAAUUGAAAAUAUCAGAAACUUCCAAUGGAGAAGAGAAGAUGCAUAGCAGUAAGGAUGCACACAAAUGAAUUUUUCACUUUUCUUCGUAAGUGUUUUUCACUUUUUAAUGUUUUUUUUUGUGUGUAGAUAAACUUUUUUUUACUAAUUGUAAUGAGAAUCAUGUAAAUCGACAAUUUUAUUUGUUGCUAUUCAUAGAUUUUGAGAUCAUCAGCAAAUCAAACACAAGGUUUAGUCUGAUGAAUGCUUGAAAUUGAGCAACUUCAAGUAGCUGAUUUUGGUUUAGUGACUAAUUACUGAUUAAGUUGGGAUAAUUUUGAUUAAAUACUUAAAAUUGGGGCCAUAAACUGAUUUUCUAAGAAAUAUGGCUUCAAUUAGUGAAAAAAUUAGAGAUAAUUUGGGAUAAUUUUGUUUAACAAUCGUACUAUCUCAAAAAGAAAAAAAUUGUUCAAUGGUGGUUAAAUGAAUAUUAGUACUGAUUCCGAUUCUGAUGAUGCAUGGAGAUAACCUGAGGUGAACUAUUGCAGGCAUUUAGUGCAAUAACAAAUCAAUUCUAUGUAUAAUAACCAGCUUAAUUAAAGAGAUAACCAGCUUAGUACUUUUUUCAAACUCUCUGUAAGCUGUUAAAAUUGUCUCCAUGGACGCUACUAAAUUAAGUAUGAGCAAAAAAGAUAGUAAUACUUUUUCGUCUUCUAAAUAUAAAAUGAUAUACAACACAAAGUUAGUUUCUAUGUUUGGCUUUUUGUGAGUUCUUAGUUUUGGAAUUAGUAGCAGAGAAUAAUUUGCAUAUUUUCAUUUCAAAACUUGCAUAUAGAAGAUCAAAAUAUCUGACUUUUGCCGUGUUGCACUUGGUUUUAAGCCAAAAUGAUUAAAAAUAAGCCAAAAGUCAUAAGUUAAAGUUAGAAAUCCAAACUUUUCACUUUUGGCUUAUAAGCGAAAAAACAAGAGCCAAUCCGGACAAUCUCUGUACUAUUUGUGAGAUAACUAUUUGUUACUGAGAUAAUUUGAUUUCAAGUAAUGGUAACAGCCCUUAACCCAUACUAAACUAAUUUAAAUACUAAUUAGGAAGUUAUUGAUAUUUCAUUCGUAUGAAAUAUUAUUUUAAAUGUUGCCAGCAAUUGAUAUUUCAUUAGUAUGAAAUCUUAUUUUAAACGUUGCCAGCAAUUGAUAUAUCAUUAGUAUGAAAUCUUAUUUUAAAAGAUUGUCAGCAACAAUCUUGUUUUCGACAUUGAAAUAAGUUUGAGAAAUUUUCAAUUUGCAUAUGAAACCCCUUGCACUGCCCCGUUUAUAGUAUUUCGAAAAUAUAUUUUGACCCACCCUGCCCUGCCCCACACAGCACUCUCCUGUCCCACCCCGCCUGUGUCCUGCCCCAUUGCCACCCUAGCGAUAAUUUCAAGUUAGUUUGUAGAAGGUUUGAAAUGAGUGGAUCGUAUCAGAGGGAAAACAGCUUGUGUAUCUGAACAUUAGUGAGAUCAUAUGCGAGCAUUAAAUGAGUCAUGGAACUUGAGUUUUGACGCCAUGCUUCCAUGUCAGCUUACAAAGGAAACUUCUACAUACAAAACCAGAAAGAAUACACGAAAAAUGAUAAUAUUAAUGUCAGAGCAGUUGUUAUGCUGGCUAUUCCUGCGAUAUAUUUACAAAAUGUAUUGUUGGAAGGUGAUUUUGGCUGUAUAUGGCUGCAGUUGUAAAUCAAUAUACUGUUCUUUGCUGGUCUAAUUAGUUUGAGGUUAUAACUAAUUCUUGUGUCAAUUACCAUCAAAACUUUACCUUGUGUGAGAGCACAUGCUCCCCAUAAGUGUGUCUACCGGUGAUGAAUGUGGCUUAAGUUCUAAACUUGUGUUAUGACUGAUAUUUGGCUUAAGCUGGACUUGAUAUGUUGAAUGUUAGAACUUCUUUCCAGUUUGGAAAUCAUUUGACUUUUCCAGUCGCUGGCUUCAAUCUGUCAAGUCGCGAUUUUGCUAAUGAGAUAAAUCAUUGGAUCUAUUGCAGAUCCUGAUGAUGCAUUUUUAUUUUGUUGGUCGUGCAAAAAUUUAUUGAUCUUUGGAAAAUAAGUGGGAAAUCUUAGAUAAGAUGAAAUGACUAGUAAAGUUGUUCAAAAUUUAUUUUUUACAGUGAGGCCUCUUAGCGUAAACAAAGAGGUGCUAUUAUUGUUUUUAUAAAAAUAAAAAAAAUAAAAAAAAAUAAAUAAAAGAAAUAAAGAAGAGCCUCUCACCAGUAGUAUCCGAACAAAGUACAUAGAAAACUGGCUACUGGUUAUAUGCCUUCUCAUUUUAACAAGUGUAAACACAGAUCGUCCGAAAUGGAGUCGGAAGAGUGUAAAAAUGAGAACUCCAGUAUUGCCUGCUCUGUUGUCUGUGGACUAUAAUCAUCAUGGAUUUAUUUUUAAUUUGUCUAUGUACUUUUCUUUCACAAUAUCUUCUCCAGAAAUGAAGUCAAGGAAAUCACUGAAACUUCCUUCUUUGUAGGACAAGAUAUUUUGUUCGUUAACAAGCGCUGAUGCAGGUCUAACUUUUUUACCUAAAGCUAGACUAUGAAGGCUGACAAUUGAAAUGCGCCUUUUCUCCGUGUUAACUGUUACUCGGUGGACAACACUUUUGUAUAUCCCAUUGCUCAAUACUUCCAUGUGAUCUCCCAGCAGAACGACGAGAGCUCCUUUAAUGAGUGGAACUGAAUGCCACUUUUCACCUCGGUCCAUGAUUUGCAAACCCUGAUGAUUUUGUAGAAUGGUGGAUACCAUACCAUAAUCUGUGUGUGGUGGCAACCCUAGUGUAAGAUCUGGCUCAGGACAUGCUGGAUAGCAAUUAACUGCCAUGACCUGGGAGCCUUCUGCAAUGUCUUCAUGUAAGUAAUUAUCGUUUAGUCCUAAGCUCUCAAAUAUCACUUGCAUGAGUUCUUCUUGCAACUUUUGUGCUGCCGUGGUGUAGUUUCCCAUAUUCUUCCUGCAUGACGAAUCACUUUAGGAUCUUGAAGAAAUUAUAGCAUUCUUAAACAGUAGGAAUAUGCAUCUAUAAAGACAAACUUAUCUGCUAAGCAUAUUCAGCAAAGGAAUGAAAGACUUACUUGUAACAUGUGGGAUUUGAUGGCCACAAGUCCAUCCAAGUUGAGGUUGGAUUAGCGUAGUGCUUGAGGAAGUCUCUCCAAAAGUGUACUUUGUCUUUGACAUGAUUUAGACUGGUACCAUAUCUUACGGGGUCAUAAACAUUUGAAGAUAAAAGAUGCCUUUUAUCUUGAGGUGGUAAAUCGAAGAAUUCUCUCGCAGCUUCUAUGGCGUCGUCCAUGACUGACAAUGGGAUUCCAUGGUUAACUACCUGCAAAGUCAUUUAUCACAUGCAUGGUGUUAUUUUACGUUCAGGGUGAAUUUGUGAAAAGCCGUCAUAUUUCCCUUCCUGGUAGACAACCUAAGUAUGUCAAAAUCUAGGAAGUCUGUUUUAACUGAUCAGCUGAAAAUAAAAGGUAGAGAGAAGACAAAUGGAAGUGAAGCUUAGAACUCUAAUGCACCAUGUGUAUAACAUGAAGUUCUUUCUUAUUCUUGAUUUCCAUAUGCCUUUUCUAUACGUGGAUGAUCUCACGAUAUCUUUUUCCUUACUUGGUGCAUGCAUAUUCUUCUUAUUUGGAUCCCUAUCGCUAGGAACUUUAUGUAUGCUGAAGCAAGUAAAUAGGAUAAAAUUAUCUUAUUCUAGCGAGUGAACGAUUGCAGGUGACAUGGACACUUGACGACAAGUAGUACCUGGAAGAAACCAAGUUCCUUGCAAGCCAGGUGUACAUCGUAGAUUAGCUGAGGCCGAAGAAGAGGCUGUCGCAGAUAGGAUAGAUCCACGACUGGCAAGCAUGUGUUACACAGGGUUCCAUCGGGGCGUAGAGCUGGUGGAAGAACGUAACGCUUGGGAACAUAGGUUAGUCCCUCUUCAUCAAGUGUCAUGGCACUAGUGAAUGAACAAUUUGGUGAUGGUGAACUCUCUCUCAUUCUUCCCACCAUAUUAUGCUCUUUAUCAUGACUUUUAACUCCCUAUUUAUAAGCAGGAAAAUAUGAAGAUAUAUAUGAUUUUUUGGAGUUUUUAAUUAUUUAUCCACUUACAUAAAUGUAAUACGUAUAAUGUGAGGGUACCAUGACUAUAACCAAUGGAAAAAUAAUAGAAUAUAGUGAUACAUGCAUGAACCAAAGAGUGAAACAUUUUAGGCUUGGUAAAUUGGCGGUUACAAUAAAUUGAAUUCGAUGAGUAAGAGUGUUCAGAUUCAGGUGGGAGUGAACCCACGCGCCACGAGUGAGAAUGGUGCUCUAGUUCUACACGUGCGCGUACGUAGGCACUGGCGUUUGGAACAUUAAUUUCCUUAUUUCACUUCGAGUUUAAGUUUUGUAAUUGUACAAAAUGGUUUAUACUAUCGGAUAAUAAAAUAUAAUAAAAUAUUUUACACUAUUAGGCAGAGUAAAAAUAUUGACCUGCUAUUACAGGUUAUUCAAUCUUUUGCUUGCAACAACAACAAAUCCAGUGAAUUUCUACUAAAGUGAGGUCUAAGGAGGGUAAAAUGAUUCCAAUCUUUUACAUAAAAAAAAAAAAAGAAAAAAAAUUGAGCAACCUGCGUCCAACUACUACGUCAAGUUACUUGAUAGUGUAAAAUAUUUUAUACACUAAAAAAAACUUAAAUUCUUGCACUUAUCAGCGUCGAUGCGUUAUUCUUGCACUUAUCAGCGUCGAUGCGUUGUUUCCACAGAGCAAGUAGAGUGAAAAAAAAAAUUACUCUCCCUUCAACGAAAGUUGUCCAUAGCUUAUUACACUAUUAAGGAACAAUAAAUAAUAAGAAUUUUACUUUAUUAUGCUUUUAAUGUAUUAUAUUGAGGAUCUUUAAAAAAUAGCAGUAUUUUGCUAUAAAACUUACCUUUCAUAACCACAUUUUACAUAAUUAUCAUUUAUAGCUGCUGUAUUCGAUUUAUGUCCCAUGUAUUCAAUUUUACAGAUAGUAUGUAUUCAUAUAAAAUAUGAAUACAAUCCAUAUUUAGUCGCGCCAAAAAUGGAAUUCAAUAUUUUUAAAAAGAAAAAAAUCUCAAUCACGCUUAUCUCGUUGAACUGAAUAUUUCCUUGCCUAACACUACCAUUAUCUUUUUUCAUGUUUUUUAUCCUUUUUCAUAUUUUUUUUUAUCUUUUUUUGUAUUUUUUUUUAUCUUUUGUGUUUUUCCCCUUUCUUCUUCUUUUUUCUAUUUUUUUCUACUUUUAUUUUUUUCAUUUCUUUCUUUUUCUUUUUUCCUUUUUUUCUCUCUUUAAUCCCUAACUUCUAUUUCUCUUUCUUCUUUUCUUUUCUUCUUUGAUUUUUUUUUAUUUUCUUUUUUGUACUUAUUUUCUUUAUUAUUUUUUUGUUCUAUUUUAUAUUUUUUGUAUUUUCAAAAAAUAUAAGUAGUUAGCACAAGUCAUGGAUGAUAACGUAAAUACCACAAUUAUUUAUCGUAUUUGUAGUCACACCGUCAUUUAUAUUUUUGUAUUUAUUGAUGCAACUAUAUUUGUAUUUGUAUUUUAAAGUUUGCACUUAUAUUUAUAUUUUAUAGUUUGCAUUUGUAUUUGUAUUUGAUAGUUCGCACUUGUAUUUGUAUUUAUAUUUGUUAGUUUGCGCCAUUAUUUAUAUUUUAUAUAAUUCACAUUUGUAUUUUAAAGAACUAUUUUGUAUUUGUAUUUUAUAAUUGAUUGCAUAUUAUAUUGGAUUAUAUUUAUAUUAUGGUUUUAUUGUGUUUGNNNNNNNNNNNNNNNNNNNNNNNNNNNNNNNNNNNNNNNNNNNNNNNNNNNNNNNNNNNNNNNNNNNNNNNNNNNNNNNNNNNNNNNNNNNNNNNNUAAAUGUACCGUUUUAUAUUUGUAUAUCAAAAUUAUUAUUCAUAUUUGUAAAUAAACAACUAUCACUUGAUACAAAUACAAUGACAAACAAAUGAAAUAAAUAAUUUUACAAAUACAAAUAUAAUAUGUAUUUGUAUAUAUUGUAUUUGUAUAAAAAUUUGAGUUGUAUUUAUUUGUAUCAAUAAAUACAACUCGUAUCAAUAAAUACAAACAAAUAUUCGUGGAAAGAAAAUCAAUCGUUUCUCUUCAAUAAUUAAAAAAUACAAAUGAUAGUUAACGCUUGUAUUUAUAUGUUAUAGAUUGCAUUUGUAUUUGUAUUUUAUAGUUCACACUUGUAUUUAUAUGUUAUAGUUUGCAUUUGUAUUUGUAUUUUAUAGUUUGCACUUGUAUUUGUAUGUUAUGGUUCGCAUUUGUAUUUGUAUUUUAGAGUUCGCACUUGUAUUUGUGUUUGCUAGUUUGCACAAAUGAAAAGAAGAAGAAAAAUUGAAAAGGAAAAAAAAGGAGGAAAACAUACAAAAAAGAAGAAGAGAGUAAUAGAAAAUAAGAAAAAAAUUUUAAAAAGAGAAAAAAUAAAAAGAAAAAAAAUAAAGGAGAAAAAAUACAAAACAAGAAGAAGAAAAAAAAGAGGAGAAAAAUGAAAAGAAAAAAAGAAAAAAAAUAAUAAAAAAGAAAAAAGAAAAAAAAAGUGAAAAAAUAAAAAAUAAAAAGAAUGCAACAAAAAAGGAAAAGAAAAACUGAAGAAAAAAAAAUUGAAAAAGGAAAAAAAAAGAGAAUAGUAUAAAAUAGAAAAAAGAGAAAAUACAUGGGAAAAGUUAUGAAUUGUAAUUAAGGAUAAUUAAUAGGCAAGAGGGGACUAUGAAUUAUAAUUAAUUAAAAAUUAGACUUUAAGUGGUAAUAAAAGCUCAAUAGUGGCUAAUCCAAGUAAUUUUCUCUAUUAUAUUUAAUAUUUAAAAAAUAUAUUGCAUCAUGAGCAACAUUUAAUACUAAGGAUAAAAUAAAUACAAUAAAUAAAUUAUUCAUUAAUUUUUUAAAUUGAUGAUAUAUUUUCUAAUAUAAUGGACAAACAAGGAGUAUCGGGAGUACUAAGCCAGGCAAUUUCUAGGAGUCAUUUGGAAAGCCCCGUGGGAUUUGAAUUUAAAUGUUUAAAACGGUCGUUUGGUUGGAAAAUAGUUAUCUCGAAAUAGUUAAUUUCGAGAUUAGUUAUCCCAAAAUUACUCGGGAUAACUUAUCCCACCAUGUAUAUGGGAUAAUUUAUCUCAUCACUGCAGUGUAAAUGGUGGGAUAAGUUAUCCCGGUAUUAACUAAUACAUUUAACCAAAUAUGAGAUAAAAUAAUCCUUUAUUUUAUUUCGAGACUAUUUGUUCCUUAUAUCUCACACCAAACGAUCCCUAAGUAGAUAUAAUUAUACCGUUUGAUCUGGUUAUUGAUCAAAUAAUUAUUAAUCGUUUAGUAAGGAAUUAGGUAUAACUGGUCGUAAUUACAAUUUUCAAUUUUCAAUUUUCAAGAGGGGGUGGGAAUUACAUCGUGUCAUUAUAAAGUUAUUUUUAAACUACUUCUUUUUGUUUUUAUUUUCUUUUUAAUUUAUUUCUAUUAUUUUAAUUUUUUAUUUUUCAUUUUAAAUAUUUUUUAUCUUACCUUAUUUAUUUUUCAUUUCUUUUCUUCUCAUUUUCCAACUUUUACAUCUUGAGAUUCCAGUAAUUGCUUGUAUUUUUUAUUUUUAUUUAUUUUUUCAUUUAGCAUAUUUGAGUUAGUAUUCUAAUUUUUGAAUUAAAGUGAACUCUAUGCCAUUAAUUAUUAUUUUUUCAAACAUGCAUUUCAUGAUUUUCUUAAAGACCAUAUAUUUUUAGUUUUAAUAAUUAAUUAAAUAAAACUUAUUAUUAACUUCAAAUAUAUAUAUAUAUUAUUUUUAUAAUAUUAGUUAAAAAUAUGAAAUUAUUAAUUAGUAUACUUUCAAGAGACAAUAUGUGUCUUAAAUACGCGAUUUAAUAUCAAUUUUGAUAAUUAUUUUUUGUUGUGUAAUCACACCUGUGCAGUCAAUAUGUACUUAUAACUACACUGUAAUUUUAUUAUGACAAAUAAAUAGGUUAUCAUAAUACUUUAUUGUAUAAUUAAUCAAGUGACUUGAGAAAAUUGAAGGAAAGAUGUCUUUUAAGUUUUGAAUGAAGGAUUGGUGACAUUGAUCAAUAGAUAGGGUCAAAUAUCAUUAGGAAACUUGAUUAAAUUAAUUGUGGACUUGAUUAAUAUUUUCAAAAUUUUCUAAUCUUUUAAAAAAUACAAAUCAACCCAACCCACAUUCCUCUUCAAUCAAAAUCAACCACNNNNNNNNNNNNNNNNNNNNNNNNNNNNNNNNNNNNNNNNNNNNNNNNNNNNAAAAAUUCUCCGUUCAACCUCCGACGACAAAUAGUCGGACGAGUUCCUUUUCGACUUUCAACUGUCAAUCGAUGUGAAGACUUCUCCGGCAACAACAACUUCGAGUUUUUCGUCGUCCUAUUUCCCGUUUCACAGGUAAAAAAUUAUGAAGAAAUAGAGGAACUUGAGCCAAGUACUCUUCUAGUAUUGAAAUAUGGACUGAAUAAAACCCUAAUUUCUGGCAUUUCUUCUUCUUAUUGUCGUACUGUUGAUUCGAAUUUGUCGGUGAUUUUUGAUCACAGUUGAUGUUCUUAGUGUGUGUGUGUGUGUGAUGUGUUGGUGUUGUUAAAAUUGAUUUGUUGUUUGUCUUGGUAAAAAUGGUAUUGCAACAGAUAAAACAUUUGAUGUAACAGAUGAAACAUAUGAUGCAACAGAUGAAAAUCUGAUGCAGCAUAUGAAAAUCUGAUGCAACAGAUAAAAAUCUGAUGCAACAGGUGAACAAUCUAACAGAUCAUUCAUCUGUUGCGAUAGAUGACUCUUCUGUUUGGAAGAAAUCUAAACAAUAUUGGCACAACAGAUAACUGAUUAGUAAUCUGUUUUUAUUCUUUCCAACGGUUUACUCUUCAUUUUGCAACAGGUUAGGACUGUUUUAUUCUUUCCAACGAUUUACUCAUCCGUUGUAACAGGUCGGUUAUAUGUUGCAACAAAUAACAUACCUGGUGCAACAGAUUAGUGAUUCGUUUUUAUUCUUUCCAACGGUUUACUCAUCCGUUGCAACAGGUCUUAUAUGUUGCAACAGAUAAAAUACCUGGUGCAACAGAUUAGUGAUCUAUUUUUAUGGUUUCCAACGGAUUACUCAUCCGUUACAACGGGUCAGUUAUAUGUUGCAUCAGAUAAAAUACCAGGUGCAAUAAAUUAGUGCUGUUUUUAUGGUUCCCACGGAUUACUCAUCCGUUGCAAUAGGUCGGUUAUAUGUUGCAACAGGUAACACACCUGGCGCAACAGAUUAGUUGUCUGUUGGAACUAUUACAUUACUGUUAUGCAUUAAUCAAUUAUAAUCUAUGUUAUGUUCCUAUUAAUUUAAGAUAACAUGGCCCCCAAAAGAAAAGAAAUCGAAUCAAGUCCAAGUGAAGGAACAAGUGCAGCAGCUCAGCUACAUCCAACACUCUAUGAGCUUGCUUUACAAGCGUUAUCUCAAUCUGGAGCAGAAGAUGAUGAACACGGGGAGGAGGAAUCUUUCAAAAGAGAUGAUCCGCAUGCUAAUAGCCCUUCCGUCGAAGAGUUGGUCAAAACCUUCAGCAUUGAUCGUUAUCCUGUGAGAAUGCAGAGCGAUGGUGCCACAGAUUUAUCGGGUGAUCUCGUGGUUAAGUCAGUCAUGGGAAAAUCUUUCGAUGCCUUCAGAAAAAUACUUUGAGAAUAAAAAUUGGAUUCUUAUUUCAGGGAAAGCUGCUUUGGGCAAUAUCUUGAUUUGCCGGAGGACAACAAUGCUCGUUUUCAGAUGAAAAUGGUAUAUGAUCUUCUCAAGCCCAGGUUUAUGUAUGAACACAAAGAUAAGAUGGAUGAGGUGUGGAUAAAUUACUGUGACAUGCCUGUUUGUUUUGGUUGAAAGGAGUUUGCCAUAGUUACCGGACUAAAAUGUUAUCCUCCUUCUCCUUCUCAAGUUAUACCUACUUUGACUCAAAAAAAAAGCACCCCGCCCACCCAACAAAGGAAAAGACAAGUCGAGUGAUCAUGAUGACCUGGUGUCCAUUCUUGGUCCAAGCUUCAAAAACAAAAAUCUGGUAGAAGUGUUGAAAGGUAAAAGGCUUUCAAAAAAGCACAAACAAUCAUUGUGCUUGGUUUGGUUUGUACAUAAUAGUCUUUGGGCGAGAGACGUUAACAACAACAUAAGCCUCGAUUUAAUAAAUCUCUCCGAGGAUCUUGAGGUAGUUAACAACUAUCCUUGGGGUUAUGAAAGUUUCAAAAUGGCUGUCGAAUAGUUGUUGACUCCGUUAACACCAAAAACAGUCAACUUAUAUGGCUUUCCAUGGGCCUUCAUGGUAAAUAUUUCUUUUAUCAUGAUAUGAUUUAUCAUUUUUUUAUUCAAUAAUGCUUUUAAUUUAUUGGCGUUAUGUUAUCGGCUUGGGCAUUUGAAGCCAUUCCUUAUUUGAAACAACAAGUGAACUACCAGGAAGAAGUUUCUUGUCCAAGAAUUCUGAUAUGGUUGUAGGCCAAAACCGAUAAAAACGCAAAAUUUCUUGAUCUUUUCAAUCCCCCUGUCACACGCCUUUUUACGCUCGAGGGUUCGAGUUGAAGGAUUUUUCCAAUUAAAGUGACAGUUUUGAAUAAGAAUUAGUUUAUUAACAGAGUUGCCACUUGGAUUGAGUUAUGGUGUUCCAAGUCACCUUAUUGAAUUCCUAAUCAAAAUGAAAUGACUCUUUAUUUUGGUCUGCAAAAACAGAAGACCGGGUAAAGAAUUCUAUUGAUCGAGGGGAAGGCGUGAGGCACCCCUCGAGUCCUGUGGUUCUAGUACGGUCGCUUUUAUUGACUUAUCUUAACGUAAACUAUUUAAUAAAUUAUGUUAAGGCCUAAAAUCACUCAUUUUUAUUAUACCUAAAUCGUCUAUAUUUUAUAUUUAAUUAAAUCGGUGAAAGUUAGUUUUUUUGAAAAAUAUUUAUCAAGGUGCAUUAUUGCACCCUUAAAUUUUAAAAUAUCUCAGAAAGAUGUAUACGCCGCAUUUUUAAUUGAGACGAAUAUUUUAAACGCAUUUAAAAUUUACCUAAAUUCCUAAUAACAAACUAAAGUAAAAUUCAUUUAAUGCAAUUAAUUAAAUCAAUAAAUAAUUAUUAAGUUCUAUUAAUAAAAAUAAUAAAAUAAAUAAAAAUAUAAAUCUACUAUAUUGCGUUAAAUUUAAUAUUAUCCCCAAAAUUUAAUUUAUUCAAAAUUCAUACAAAAUCAAAUCAUAUUUUAUAAGAUAAAUUAACACACAAAAAAAAAUCCCAAUAAUCUAAUUUAAACAUAAAUUUAUGAAAGAAAAAUUGAGCAACCCUAAAAUAAAGAUAUAUAAAAUCCAAACAAGAUAUAAUUAUUUUUAAAAUAUUGGAGAUUAAAUUAAUAUCAUAUUUUAAUUAUAAGUUGAUAAGUGAUGGAAUAUUGCUAGAUAAGGAGAUUAAUAUAAUUUCUCAUAAAGUAAUAAUAAUAAAAAAUAACAAAAAAAAUUCGAAAGAUAUUUAGCAUUAACAUUUUUAAAUAGUCUGCAUAAAAAAAAGAAAUAGAUAGCGUAUUUUUAAAACAAACGGAGAUAGUCACUGGCCGGAGUUGUCAACGGCAUCUAUGCUUGCCUCUCCGAUUGAAGAUGACGGCAUGGCUAAUUUGCCUGUAUGGUUGGUUGCAGUUUGCCAAAAGGAGAGGAAGGAGCGCUGGCGGGUAAGGGAAGGCGCUGUUGCGCCACAUUCCGGAGACGGAGGGAGAGAAAGGGGUCGGCGGCAUAGGUGAGGGGAGGGGGGAUAGCGCCGACAGCAGAUCUGGGAAGGGAUGUGGAGGCGGCGCCGGUGCUGGGAUGGCUAGUAUCGCCAGAAAAGGGGGAGGGGAAAGGCGCCGACAAUGGCUAUCUCGCCAUGUCGUGGAGGUUUCGGUUACAUCUGGCGCGCCAUUCAUUGGUGUCGCCGGCGGAUUGAUACUGUUCCAGUAGUGUGGGGGUUGUUUUCGACAAGAAAUUUGGCUGGAGAGGACCAAUGUUGAUUGUUUUCCAACGAUGAAUAAACUUUUUUCCGGCAAAAUUUCGCUGAAAAAUUAAUAUAAGAGUCUAUUAUUUUUUCAUCUUCUUCCUUCAAUUUUCUCACUUUUUUUUCGGUCUCUUACUGAUUUCUCCUUGUCUUUGUGUGAAUGCGUGUGUUGUGCUAUUGUGUAUAUUAUUCCGAUCAACUAUAUUCAAUAUACUCUUGUUAGUGAUGUCGACGGAGUGGCCAGUGAUAUUUUGUGUAUUGUUAGCUGUGAGUGAAAUUAUAACAGUGUUCAUGUAACUGUAACAGUACCCCUUUUCUUAAAUCAGACACUAUCAUAUGCAAUAUUUUUAUAUCUAACACAGUAUAUAAAUAUUCAGUGAUUUGAUAUCAUAAUAUAUAAUAAUAGAAAAUUUACAUAAUCAAUCAAAUGCACAUAUCAAAUAAUGCAUAAGAUCACUUGAACAUUUUCAUUCAUGCUAGUUCAUAAUAAAGUUUACAGGAUAAAUGAUACAUGAUCAAAUAGAACCUGUGAUGAAGCAAAAAAUCGACAUCAAAACUCGAACAGAAACCCGAAACUCUAUUUGCUACUCUUUCUCUUCUUUCUUUUUUGUGUUUGAUUUUGAGUGUUGUUUUCUUCUCAUUUGAUUUUGAGUGUUGUUUUCUUCUCACUUUUUGUCCGAUUUCUCUCUGUAUUUUUUAGUGUGGUCUUUCUCUCUCCGUAUUUUUUAUCUCUGUCUGAUUUGUCUGAUAUAGUGUAUGAGGAUGUGAAAAAGUACGUCCGUUUCCUGGGGUUGGGGAGUCCUUAAAUAGAAGGAUUUUGGGGGGAGUAGUGUAGGUAGUUUAGGAUUUAAAUUUUGAAUUUUUUUUUAUAUAUAUAGGAUAAUGAUCUCAUUUUUUAAUAAAUAAAUAAAUUAUAUAAAAAUUAAAUAAUAAAAUAAUAAUAAUAAUAAAUAUUAAAUAAUUAAUUUUUAUACUUAAGAAAAAUAGAAUAAAAAUAUAACUAAUUUAAAAUAAAAAUAUAAUUAAGAGAAAAUAAAAUUACUAGAUUAUUUAUAAAAAUCUAAAUUAAAAGAAAAUAUUUUUUGAAAAUUUUUUUGUAUUAUUUUAAAAAAAAAAAUCUUAAAAUGUAACUUUAUUUUUUGAUUUUUUUAAAAUGAAAUCUAUUAAAAAAAUAAAUUAAAUAAGAACUAAAGAUAAUAUUUUGACAUAAAUAAAUAUUUAAUGUCAAUAAAUAAAUAAAUCAAAACUCGGGAGUGUCAAAAAUCACGUGUCUACAUUUUUGCCCCUCUUUUUGUUGAAUCUCGAAGAGUUUUCAUACAAAGAAGUAGACAAGAUAUGAUUUUUGACCCUCCAAUUAUUUGAAAGUUAAGGAUAAAAAUAAAAAUUAAAGGAAAAAUGUAACCGAGUUCUAAUUUUGGACCUCCUACAUAUCCCGGGUUUAAGAGAAUCAGGUCACAUGUAGUUCAAAGAUAACAUGGUAAGAGAAUGAGUUAGACAUCGAGUGAGAUUUCGUUCGAGUUUCCGAUUUUCGACUUUCUGCUUUUACAUUGAAAUGAAUAACAAAAAAUAAAAUAAAGAUACAAAUGAAAGAUCCUAUCUAUGCUGCUUUUCUGGAAUCUUGACUUGAAUCUUUACGACUUCUCAAAUGGUGAGAUAGUCGUUAUUUUGAGUUGAACUUGAAACACGAAAUGUUCCUUCUCGUUGGCUUUUGGCGUUAGAGAGGAACUUGAUAAUUCAUUUAUUCUUUGAACUUUCCUCUGACUUGAAUUUGACAAUCUUUACCCUAUUUUUCAGGCGGACUCCUGAACUUGCAAUUGAUAAUGUUCACCCUAUUCUUCAGGCAGGCUCCUGGACUUACAAUUUCUUCACCUUGUUCUUCAGGCGGGCUCCUGGACUUUCUCUUUCUUCACCCUGUUCUUCAGGCGGACUCAUGGACUUACAAUUUCUUUACCCUGUUCUUCAGGCGGGCUCCUGAACUUACAAUUUCUUCACCCUAUUCUUCAGGCGGGCUCCUGAACUUUUUUUUUCUUCACUAUGUUCUUCAGGCGGUCUUCUGGACUUACAAUUUCUUCACCCCAUUCUUCAGGCGGGCUCCUGGACUUCCUUUUUUUAUUCACCCUGUUUUUCAGGCGGGCUCCUGGACUUACAAUUUCUUCACCCUAUUCUCCUGGCGGGCUCCUGGACUUCCUUUUUUUCUUCACCCUAUUUUUCAGGCGGGCUCCUGGACUUACAAUUUCUUCAUCCUAUUCUUCAGGCGGGUUCCUGGACUUCUUUUUUUCUUUACUCUGUUCUUUAGGCGGGAUCCUGAACUUACAAUUUCUUCACCUAUUUCUUCAGGCGGGCUCCUGGACUUUCUUUUUUUUCUUCACCUUGUUUUUCAGGCGGGUUCCUGAACUUCUUUUUUUUGUCUUCACCCUGUUUUUUAGGCGGCUCCUGGACUUACAAUUUCUUCACCCUAUUCUUCAGGCGGGCUCUUGGACUUACAAUUUCUUCACCCUGUUCUUCAGGCGGGCUCCUGGACUUCUUUUUCUUCACCCUGUUCUUUAGGCGGACUCUUGACUUGUUUUUUUUUCACCCUAUUCUUCAGGCGGGCUCCUGGACUUCUUUUUUCUUCACCCUAUUCUUCAAGCAGGCUCCUGGACUUCUUUUUUUCACUCUGUUUUCAGGCGGGCUCUUGGACUUUCUUUUUUCUUCACCUUGUUCUUUAGGUGGCCUCCUGGACUUACAAUUUCUUCACCCUAUUCUUCAGGCGGGCUCCUGGACUUUUUUUUUGAUUUUUCAAAUAUGUUCUUGAACUCAAAAUAAAAGGUGAAACAGAAAAAUAACAUCCUAUUCUUCAGGAGGGUCCUGUGCACAAAGUAAAUUCUCAUUUUUCAGGAGGGUCCUGUUCAAAAGUAAAUUCCCAUUCUUCAGGAGGGUCUUGUUCAAAAGUAAAUUUCUAUUCUUCAGGAGGGUCCUGUUUAAAAAGUAAAUUUCCAUUCUUCAGGAGGGUCCUGUUCAAAAGUAUAUUCCCAUUCUUUAGGAGGGUCCUGUUCAAAAGUAAAUUCUCAUUUUUCAGGAGUGUUUUUGUUCAAAAAGUAAAUUCCUAUACAACACACAUAAAAUUUUGCCCCAGUUUGUACUGAGAAAAUUUGUAUGUCAUCAGAUCAUAACUGAGAUCCAGCAUCGUAUGCUGUAAUCAUGAUUUUUGCAUUGACAGAAGUGUGAAAUUGUAUCCUUUAUUUGAAAACUUUUUAUCCCUGUUUCAAACAAAACAAAGAAAAAUUGUGAGUUUUGAAAACACAUGGUGGUUGGUUUGUGGUAUUUGGCUCUUGAAUUGACGUUGUUGCACUUGCCAUGCUCAAAUCCUUUUCUAAUCCUUGAUAGAUAUCCAUUGACUUGUCACACUUCUGACCCAAAAUUCUGACUACUGAUAUUCUCAACUCAAAACACAUUUCUCUUGUAUAAUAUCUCAGAAUUUAACAUUUCAUACACCCUUUAUCUUUCAACGAGUCAAAAACUGUCAAAUCAUAAUCAUUCUGAAUACUUUAUUAUACUUUGAAAUGUUGUCCUUGUACGUCGACCCUUUGUCUUGCUUUUUAUCAUUGAAGAAGUUGAUAGCAAGUUUGGAGUCCUUUCUCACUAGACCUGACGUGAAUCUGACUCAAAAGCACAUACAAGACAAUAAAAUUUUCAUUUGAUGACAAGGACACAAAAAUAAAAAAUUAAAAUAAAACAAAAAGAAAAAAGACAAUAAUCAUCUCUUUUUCAAAAAAAAAAAAAAACUUAUCUGAAUGUGAAAACCGAUUCUGGUGAUUAUGACAUGCAUUUUGAAUCAAACAACCAGAUCUAUCCACACCAAUCAUUAUAAUUUUUGUCCAUUUAUUGAGCUUGAAAUUUAGCCAAUCUUGAGCUUGUUCGUUCUGGAUAAAUACUCUUCUUCGGCUAGUGGCACCUAAAUGGGUUUUUGCCAACAAGCCUAUCUCAUUUUCACUUUUUUCUCAGCUUACAGUCGCCUUAUGGUGCCCAAUAGGGUUUUCACCAAUGAAACUCUCUCUUUUUCAUUCAUUUUUUAAAAUAAACACCCAAAAUAUGAAAUAUCAUGCACCCAUAAAUUGUUAAGCCUUGACAUUCUCAAAGAUUGAUCUGAAGGUAUUUCUUUGGUUGUAACUUAGAUUUUGGAUAGGGUUAGAAGGAAAUGGCGGCAUGAGGCUCAAAAAUUACAUAACAUUGGGUGAAGCAUACAACUUUUGAAAUCGACUCUAUUAAGAAAAUAAACUUUUGCCCCAGUUUUAUUUCAUUCUGAGUAACUUGAAUUUUAUUUUGGUUGGAUCGAACCCCGGAGUAAGGCUGCUUACGUAUCUUGUCAUAGCAAGAAUCAGGUCAAACGUAAUUCAUGAUCGUCAUUCUUUUGCUUUUUGCUCUUUUUUUUUUCUUUUUUGAAUCGAACUUUGGCUCACUUGUUUUUCUUUUCUUUGAUUCUUCUUUUUUUGGGACUUUUCCAAUUUCAAUUUUUUGACACUUUUUUUUUGACUUCAUUUUUCUUGACACUUUUUUUUUUAUAUUUUUUUUUUCAAAUUCUAGUUUUAUUCCAAAAGAGGGGUACAAAAGAAAAUAACACUAAAGCUCAAAAGGGGUAACAAAGGACGACACAACAUUUGGGUAGCAGAAUGAAAUGCCUUCGUCAUAUCAAUCCUUAAAAACGGAAGAACAUAACAUGCAAUUUGAGGGUGAAACAUGAGAUCAUACAUAUCUUUUCAACAUUGACUUUGACUAAGAACGUGCACAUGUGUCACUUCUGUCAUGCUUAUGAAACAUACAAGUCCACUUGUGUUGUACUUUCUCCACACGAAUGACUCAUGUCUCUUUGGGAGCUAACUUUCUUUCAUUUUUCCUGACAAUGGAGAUUAUAUAUCCUCUGAUUGAUCCCAUUCAAAAUGCUUGAAUUAGAUUUUCUAAUUGAUGAUCAAGUCAUUUUUGAUUUGCAAAACGAUUGCUCCAAUUUCAUCUAUAUUGCAAUUUGACUUAUUCUCAAACUGUUUGAAAUCUUUUGCUUAUAUUCUCAAAUACUUCCUCUUCAUCGUAUUCAACCUCUUUAUUCAUUAUUUCAUAAUUAGAUUGGAUUUUAAAAUUUGAUUGAUAAUUUUUCAUGCAUGUCAUAUCGUUAUAAUCGGCAUAGAAAGAACUGAAUAAUAGAAAAUAUAUAAGUAAAUAUUAGACACAAAAUAAAAUAAAGGGAAAUUAUGUUUCAUUAAAAAAUAAAGAUAGACAAAGCUUUAACCUAAAAUAACAAGGUAAAAAUCUGAAUUACAACCCUAGAACGAUUCAAAUUGCAGAAAGACAAAUAAACAAACUACCAAGACUCCUUCAUAGUAGAGAGAAGAGUGACCUCCCAAUUGUUAAGUUUGACAUCUUAGCGACUGGUUUGCUUAUCAGCAUGACUAGAACUUCCACCACUAUCCAACACAUUUUCUUCAACAAAUAAAUUCUGGAUCCCCAUGCUUAGCUCAUUGUUUCCCACGUAUUGUGCAUUAUCGUGUGUUGAUGAAGGAUUCCGUAUGACGCUCCUAGUGUCAAUGCUUUGCACUACAAUCAAUUUUUCUUAAAUCAACCUUUCUAUUUCUCUUUUUAAUGCAUGACAAUCCUCAAUACUGUGACCUUGAAUAUCAGAAUGAUAUGCACAUCGUACAUGAGGAUCAAAAUUUCUUGAAUGUGGAUCAGGAGUACACUCAAGGAGAGGAGUGAUUAUGUCCAACUUUAUCAAUAUCUGGAAUAAACUAGCAUACGAUUCCUCAAUUUGUGUAAAAUUAUUCUUUGAAUUUCUCCUCUUUGCAAACUCCGGCCUCGAUUGAAACUUAGACUUAGAAGUUCUUUGAUAAAUAUGUGGGGGUCCAGGACGAUGUUGAGGAACCGGUGCAUGCCAUUGCAGAUAAGAAAAUGGAUGAUCAUACAACUGUGCAUUGUUUAAAGGAUAUUAAGGAAGUGGAAUGAAAUAUCUUGGAUUUUACAAACAGGAACCUUGUUGCAUGUGAGCAUAUGAAUUUGAUGUGCAAGCUCGGGAUUGAGACUGGCAAUAUUGUUGAGUUGGACCUCUUGAGCUCUUCUUUUCCCCUGUAACGACAAUAGGUACAUUUUCCUUUUUCUUCCUUUCUGUCCCUCUUAAUUGAUGGCAAUAUCGUCCCAAGUGUUUUACGAAAUCCUCGUACCCAUCAUGUUUCUCAAAUUUCGAUAUCUUAAGGCUUGGAGGAAGGUUAACACUUGAAGACAUUUCCCCGUCUUUAUAUGCAAUAUCUUCAUAAUUCGUAAUUCCCUGAGAAUUUUUCGUAGCCUUUUCUGUACUCUUAAUUUUCCUAGCCAUUUUCUCUUGCUCUUCUGUCAUGUCAGACUUCUUAGUAAGAAAUUUUGGUGGUCCAACUAACAUAGAUGUGGGCUCAGGAGUAUAAUAGUGAUCAUCAAGAGUGUUGAACAUCGACUUACUAGCAGAAUGGGGAGGUCCAAUCGCCGGAUCAAAAGCUAAGAUGGAAUCCUCAGUAGAGGGUGGAGCAACAGAAGCAGAGACUAUAGGUGGUGCUAUCGAUGUGCUAGAUUUAUACUGAAGAUCUAAAAAAUGAGUGAUUGAAACAUUGAGAUUAUUUUGGCUUGGAAUAGAUUCUGGGGCAUGUUGUGGUGCAUAACCAAUAGCAGAAAACUGACCUUACAAUUUUGGUGAAAAACUCAAGGUAUUUGUAAGGUCAAUAGUGGAUAAUGGCGGAGGAGGCAUCCCACUGGCCCAAGCUCGAUACAUUUCCAACAUUUGUUGCCUCAAACGCACAAUCUCUUGUUUUAACCUCUCAUUUUCCCGACUCUUUGUCUGAUCCAUGAUUUCACUUUCUAUAUUCUUGCUGGACAUGACUCUUUUUCUUGAAUUUGGUGUAAUAUGAGGGACCAACACAAAUACCACAAACCAACCACCUUAAACUAACUGUAUAAGAAAUAACAAAGGUGUUAGAAUGCAAUAUUUUUCAAAAACUCUUUUUUUUGUCUUCUUUUUUGAAGAGAUCACCGAACCCUAGAAGGGAUGUCUACAUAUCUCACUAAGAUGAGAAUCAGGUGUGCAUAGUUCUCAAAAAUUGGAGAUACGAAGAAAUAUACCUUUUUUUUCUUUUUUUUUAAUAAUGAGAAAUUUAUUUACUUAUUAAAUAUUUUUUUUAUUUUUGAAAACAUUUUUUUUUUCAGUGUAAAAAGAAAGACAAUCAUUUUUUAAAACAUCACCGAAUCUAUUAAGGACUGCCUACAUAUCUCAAUAAAAUGAGAAUCAGGUGUGCGUAGUUCCUAAAAAUUAUGUCGUACAAAAAUCAGCUUCAAAACCCUUAGAGGUUUAGGGUUGUUAAUAUUUAUAUAAAAAGAAUUUUUUUAAAAACUUAGCCUCAUGAUCCCUAAAGAUUCAGGGCUGUUAAGAUUUAUUUAUUUUUAUUUAUUUUGUAAAAACUUAGCCUCAUGAUCCCUAAAGAUUCCGGGCUAUUGAAAUAUAUAUUUUUAUUUUUGUAAAAACUUAGCCUCAUGAUCCUUAAAAAUUCAUGUCUAUUAAGAUAUAUAUAAAAAUUGGACCAGAGAAUUAGAAAAAUAAUUAUGAAAGUAAUCAUAUUUUCAAAAUAUUAACCAAUAAAUCUAUGAAUAAUUUUUCAAAAGAUAGGGUCGUAUCCCGAGAAGGACUUCCUACGUAUCCCACUAAGAUGUGAGAAUCAGACCCUCUUAUUUUAUGAGGACCGUAAAACUAUGUUACUAAAAUUUUUCCUUUCUUUUUAAAAACAAAACUUUUCUUUGAAAAAAAAUAAUUCACAAAAUGUGCAGAUAAAUUAAUCUCUUGCAUUUUAAAGUUGCCUAAAAUCGGUCAACAAACAAAUAGCCUUCCAAACAAAUGUCAAAGAGCACGUAGGAUGCACAUGUUGGUCUUUAUAAAGUAGGUCAACUGUCCUAGAUAGACCCGGACCCUGUGCCGCGUCCCGCUAAGUCAAAUGCAUAUGAUGCAAAUAAAGCGGCACCUAAUAGGGAUAACCAGAUUCUGUGUUUUUAGUUCUUCUAAGUUUAAUCCUAAUAGGGGUAGGUGUCUACACUGGCUUACCCGAACGGACACUCAAGCUGGGGAGGAACAACUUGAUCGGUAGCAGGGAAAUACCUCCUUCGUUGCCGAUCCAAACCCCGCCUAACAUGUGUGACUAUAAUCCUUCACUAGGUGCCUUGACACUCCGGCUAUCUUAAAAAAAAAGUAGGAUGCAUGCGCUGCAUUCCUUCUAUCCUAUUUCAGAGACUCAGAGGGGGUGCGCAAGAGAAGACAGUAUAUAGUACAGUUUAAUCAAUAUCAAAGCGGUAAAUAAGGGACAAGUAGCACAUAAGGCCAACUCACACAAUAUCAACAAUAAUUAAAGCAAGUAUAAGUCAAUAUAAAAAGGUCGAAUUCUUAUUAUUCCCCAGCAGAGUCGCCAGAGAUGUCACACCCCUUUUUACGCUCGAGGGUUCGAGUUGAAGGAUUUUUCCAAUUAAAGUGACAGUUUUGAAUAAGGAUUAGUUUAUUAACAGAGUCGCCACUUGGAUUGAGUUGUGGUAUUCCAAGUCACCUUAUUGAAUCCCUAAUCAAAAGGAAAUGACUCUUUAUUUUGGUCUGCGAAAAUAGAAGAUCGGGUAAGAAAUUCUAUUGAUCGAGGGGAAGGCGUGAGGCACCCCUCGAGUCCCGUGGUUCUAGCACGGUCGCUUUUAUUGACUUAUCUUAACUUAAACUAUUUAAUAAAUUAUGUUAAGGCCUAAAAUCGCUUAUUUUUAUCAUACCUAAAUCGUCUAUAUUUUAUAUUUAAUUAAAUCGGUGAAAGUUAAUUUUUUUGAAAAAUAUUUAUCAAGGUGCAUUAUUGCACCCUUAAGUUUUAAAAUGUCUCGGAAAGGUGCGUAUGCCGCAUUCUUAAUUGAGACGAAUAUUUUAAACGCAUUUAAAAUUUACCUAAAUUCCUAAUAACAAACUAAAGCAAAAUUCAUUUAAUGCAAUUAAUUAAAUCAAUAAAUAAUUAUUAAGUUCUAUUAAUAAAAAUAAUAAAAUAAAUAAAAAUAUAAAUCUACUAUAUUGCGUUAAAUUUAAUAUUAUCCCCAAAAUUUAAUUUAUUCAAAAUUCAUUCAAAAUCAAAUCAUAUUUUAUAAGAAAAAUUAACACAAAAAAAAUUCCAAUAAUCUUAUUUAAACAUAAAUUUAUGAAAAAAAACAUUGAGCAACCCUAAAAUAAAGAUAUAUAAAAUCCAAAUGAGAUAUAAUUAUUUUUAAAAUAUUGGAGAUUAAAUUAAUAUCAUAUUUUAAUUGUAAGUUUAUAAGUGAUGGAAUAUUGCUAAAGAAGGGGAUUAAUACAAUUUCUCAUAAAGUAAUAAUAAAAAAAUAACAAAAAAAAAUUUCAAAGAUAUUUAGCAUUAACAUUUUUAAAUAGUCUGCAUAAAAAAAAAGAAACAGAUAGCGUAUUUUUAAAACAAACGGAGAUAGUCACUGGCCGGAGUUUUCAACGAAAUCUAUGCUCGCCUCUCCGAUUGAAGAUGACAGCAUGGCUACUUUGCCGGUAUGGUUGGCUGCAGUUUGCCGAAGGGAGAGAAAGGAGCGCUGGCGGGUAAGGGGAAGGCGCUGUUGCGCCACAUUCCGGAGACGGAGGGAGAGAAAGGGGUCGACGACGUAGGUGAGGGGAGGGGGGAUAGCGCCGACAGCAGAUCUGGGAAGGGAUGUGGAGGCGACGCCGGUGCUGGGCUGGCUAGUAUCGCCAGAAAAGGGGGAGGGGAAAGGCGACGGUAAUGGCUGUCUCACCGUGUGGUGGAGGUUUCGGUCACAUCUGGCGCCCCAUUGAUUGGUCACAUCUGGCGCGCCGUUGAGGCAGUUAACAACUAUCCUUGGGGUUAUGAAAGUUUCAAAAUGACUGUCGAAUAUCUAUUGACUCCGUUAACGCCAAAAACAGUCAACUUAUAUGGCUUUCCAUGGGCCUUCAUGAUAAAUAUUUCUUUUAUCAUGAUAUGAUUCAUCAUUUUUUUAUUCAAUAAUGCUUUUAAUUUAUUGGCGUUAUAUUAUAGGCUUGGGCAUUUGAAGCCAUUCCUUAUUUGAGACAACAAGUGAACUACUAGGAAGAAGUUUCUUGUCCAAAAAUUCUAAGAUGGUUGUAGGCCAAAACCAAUAAAAAUGUAAAAUUUCUUGAUCUUUUCAAUCCCCCUGUCACACCCCUUUUUACGCUCGAGGGUUCGAGUUGAAGGGUUUUUCUAAUUAAAGUGACAGUUUUGAAUAGGAACUAGUUUAUUAACAGAGUCGCCACUUGGAUUGAGUUAUGGUGUUCCAAGUCACCUUAUCGAAUCCCUAAUCAAAAGAAAAUGACUCUUUAUUUUGGUCUGCGAAAACAGAAGACCGGGUAAGGAAUUCUAUUGACCGAGGGGAAGGCGUGAGGCACCCCUCGAGUCCCGUGGUUCUAGUACGGUCGCUUUUAUUGACUUAUCUUAACGUAAACUAUUUAAUAAAUUAUGUUAAGGCCUAAAAUCACUCAUUUUUAUUAUACCUAAAUCGUCUAUAUUUUAUAUUUAAUUAAAUCGGUGAAAGUUAAUUUUUUUGAAAAAUAUUUAUCAAGGUGCAUUAUUGCACCCUUAAAUUUUAAAAUGUCUCGGAAAGAUGCAUACGCCGCAUUCUUAAUUGAGACGAAUAUUUUAAACGCAUUUAAAAUUUACCUAAAUUCCUAAUAACAAACUAAAGCAAAAUUCAUUUAAUGCAAUUAAUUAAAUCAAUAAAUAAUUAUUAAGUUCUAUUAAUAAAAAUAAUAAAAUAAAUAAAAAUAUAAAUCUACUAUAUUGCGUUAAAUUUAAUAUGUCCCCAAAAUUUAAUUUAUUCAAAAUUCAUACAAAAUCAAAUCAUAUUUUAUAAGAUAAAUUAACACACACAAAAAAAAUCCCAAUAAUCUAAUUUAAACAUAAAUUUAUGAAAAAAAACAUUGAGCAACCCUAAAAUAAAGAUAUAUAAAAUCCAAACGAGAUAUAAUUAUUUUUAAAAUAUUGGAGAUUAAAUUAAUAUCAUAUUUUAAUUAUAAGUUGAUAAGUGAUGGAAUAUUGCUAGAUAAGGAGAUUAAUAUAAUUUCUCAUAAAGUAAUAAUAAAAAAAAUAACAAAAAAUUCGAAAGAUAUUUAGCAUUAACAUUUUUAAAUAGUCUGCAUAAAAAAAGAAACAGAUAGCGUAUUUUUAAAAUAAACGGAGAUAGUCACUGGCCGGAGUUGUCAACGGCAUCUAUGCUCACCUGUCCGAUUGAAGAUGACGGCAUGGCUAAUUUACCGGUAUGGUUCGCUGUAGUUUGCCAAAAGGAGAGGAAGGAGCGCUGGCGGGUAAGGGAAGGCGCUGUUGCGCCAGAUUCCGGCGACGGAGGGAGAGAAAGGGGUCGACGGCGUAGGUGAGGGGAGGGGGGAUAGCGCCGGCAGCAGAUCUGGGAAGGGAUGUGGAGGCGGCACCGGUGAUGGGAUGCUUAGUAUCGCCAGAAAAGGGGGAGGGGAAAGGCGAUGACAAUGGCUGUCUCACCGUGUCGUGGAGGUUUCGGUCACAUCUGGCGCGCGUUGAUUGGUGUCGCCGGCGGAUUGAUACUGUUCCAGUAGUGUGGGGGUCGUUUCCGACAAGAAAUUUGGCUGGAGAGGACCAAUGUUGAUUGUUUUCCAAUGAUGGAUAAACUUUUUUCCGGCAAAAUUUCGCCGAAAAAUUAAUAUAAGAAUCUAUUAUUUUUUCAUCUUCUUCAAUUUUCUCACUUUUUUUUUCGGUCUCUUACUGGUUUCUCCUUGUCUUUGUGUGAAUGCGUGUGUUGUGCUGUUGUGUAUAUUAUUUCGAUCAACUAUAUUCAAUAUACCCUUGUUAGUGAUGUCGACGGAGUGGCUAGUGAUAUUUUGUGUAUUGUUAUCUGUGAGUGAAAUUAUAACAAUGUUCAUGUAACUGUAAUAGUACCCCUUUUCUUAAACCAGACACUAUCAUAUGCAAUAUUUUUAUAUCUAACACAAUAUAAAUGUAUAAAUAUUUAGUGAUUUGAUAUCAUAAUGUAUAAUAAUAGAAAAUUUACAUAAUCAAUCAAAUACACAUACCGAAUAAUGCGUAAGAUCACUUGAACAUUUUCAUUCAUGCUAGUUCAUAAUAAAGUUUAUAGGAUAAAUUAUACAUGAUUAAAUAAAACUUGUGAUGAAGCAAAAAAUCGACAUCAAAACUCAAACAGAAACCCGAAACUCCAUUUGCUACUCUUUCUCUUCUUUCUUUUUUGUGUUUGAUUUUGAGUGUUGUUUUCUUCUCACUUUUUGUCCGAUUUCUCUCUGUAUUUUUUAGUGUGGUCUUUCUCUCUCUGUACUUUUUAUCUCUGUUUGAUUUGUCUGAUACAGUAUCUGAGGAUGUGAAAAAGUACGUUCGUUUCCUGGGGUUGGGGAGUCCUUAAAUAGAAGGAUUUUGGGGGGAGUAGUUUAGGUAGUUUAGGAUUUAAAUUUUAAUUUUUUUUUAUAUAUAUAGGAUAAUGAUCUCAUUUUUUAAUAAAUAAAUAAAUUAUAUAAAAAUUAAAUAAUAAUAAUAAUAAAAUUAUAUAAAAAAAUAAAUAAUAUUAAUAAUAAAAAAAUAUUAACUAAUUAAUUUUUAUACUUAAGAAACAUAGAAUAAAAAUAUUACUAAUUUAAAAUAAAAAUAUAAUUAAGAGAAAAUAAAAUUACUAGCUUAUUUAUAAAAAUCUAAAUUAAAAGAAAAUAUUUUUUGAAAUUUUUUUUGUAUUAUUUUAAAAAAAAAAUCUUAAAAUGUAACUUUACUUUUUGAUUUUUUAAAAAAUGAAAUCUACUAAAAAAAAUUAAAUAAGAACUAAAGAUAAUAUUUUGACAUAAAUAAAUAUUUAAUGUCAGAAAAAAAGUCAGUCAAAACUCGGGAGUGUAAAAAAUCACGUGUCUACACCCCCCAAGGAAGCAGUAAGUCCAAUUCUAAUCUAGUUUUUGUUUUAAUUAAUGAUUAAAUGAUUUCAUCAUCAUUCUUAAUAUAUGUAACGAUUUAUAUUAGAUUGUCCAUCCGUGUCUUGUUUCGACCAACCGAGAGUUGAAGAUGCCAUUUUUUCUUACUUUACUGUCUGUGCAAACUUUAUCGGACCCUAAGGUCGUUGAUGGAAUAAAAAUGGAAUUGUUUUGAGCAACAACCAUCACAAGAAAGACAAUUUUGGAGGGUGGGGCUAAUGAUGCUCCUCUUACGGUUUUUUAAACAACAAGCCAUUAUGAUUAUGAUGAUAAUGGUUGUACAGAUUUUUCUCCAUAUUUUGCCGCAUCUAGCGAAUGUUCUUCAUGCAAAUGUCAAGAAUGUAAGGCAAAACACGAUAGAGUGAUUAAUGCUAUUAAUACACCUACUUCUUCUGUAAAGAAAAUAACAUCUAAGAGGGGUGUCAUUCCAUCAAAGAGGAUUUCAUAUCCAGACACUCCACUAGAGAUCAAGGCGACUAAGAGAAGAAGGAAAGACACUUCCAAGGCAUCAUCAAUCAUUAAAAAAAGCAAGAUUGCAAUGCCUCUGUUUUUAUCUUGCACCGAUGUUCAGUAUGCAAGGGUCACAGAAGAGCAGCAUGAGCUGAAGAAGGUGAAUGUACAUCAUUUGUUCCAAAAAAAUAAACAGGCACAUAUCUAUUUCAACAGAUGAUACAUCUGCUGAAAAUUAUCAAACAGAUAUAUACAUCUGUUACAAUUGUUGUCUAACCUGUUGCAUCAGAUUUGUUAUCUAUUUCAACAGAUGAGUCUUAUGUUGCAAAAGAUGGGUCAUCUGUUUGAAAUUAUAUACUGCUCUGAUUUACCUAUUCGAAUUUGUCCCAACAGAUAAUCCAUUUGAUGCAACAUAAGACUCAUCUGUUGCAACAGAUGAAAAAUCUGUUGUAUGUCUCUACUUAGCAUUGACAAUUCUGGCUUUCCAGAUGGAUGUCACAGCUACUGCCGAAAAGCAUAAUAUCACAGUUGAUAACCCAUCAAUUGCUUCCAAAGAUGAAGAAAAAGUGGAGCCUGUCAGUUUGGGAGAACGGAAGAAUUACCCAGUUUGGGAGAACGGAAGAAUUACCCGUUUGAAGGGUUCAACAUCUUGAAUGAGGCUCCAAAAAAACUAACACAGUUGAUCAACGACUAUUUAGAAUGGAUUGCCGAUGGGUUGUUAAAGCAUCAUGCCAGCAAGUACAUAAAUCAAUUUUAUGGAUAUUGGUUUAUAUAAUUCUUGUUGUAAGAACUUGACAUUAACGCAAAUAAAUCAUCAUGUAGAAAAUAAAAUAACGAGCGCUACAAAGUGAACGAAUCGAGUCUUGGUUUUGAUAUGGUCGACUUUGUUGUUGCACAUCCCGGAAUGAAGAAUUGGUUCUAUUUGAUGUCACAGCUCCAAACUUACCGGAAUGAUGAGGUUUAAAUGCCAUUCAUAUUACUAUUAAUUAAUACUUUAUUUAAUUGCAUCUGCGUAUUGAGUUUUUCAUCACGUAAUCUGAAAUGUUUGAUAAUAUGUGCAACACAUCGAUGUCAUUUUUACCAUAUCCAGAAAAAGGCCAAGUUACAAAUACAAGAACAAUACAGAUACACAAUAGGCAAUUUUUUGUACAAAGUUUACAUCAAUAAUGCCUACGAUAGGUAUUGUCAACAACAGCCAGAAGUUUUCCAUAACGAGGAAUUCUUAAUCAACAUCAUCAAAGGUUUUAGCAUUCCGGCUGGCUUACCUUGGCAUUUGGUCGACGAAUUGUUCAUCCCAAUCAAUUGUGGUGAUGAAUUCCAUUGCAUGUUGGCUGUCGUCGUUCUAAAAGAGAGUCACAUCCGAGUUUAUGACUCGAUGUCGCGAAGGAGACGUUCCGGGCCGUCGUCUGAGAUACAAAAUCUGGCCAAAAUAUUACUUACUUACCUUGAUAUGAGUGGCUUUUUGGACCAAAAGGUUCGUACUGAUUGAUUGAUGAUUGAAGCAUACCGGGAUAAAAUGGCUAAUCCUUUUGAUGUACAAUAUGAUGACGGAAUUAAUCAACAAACCAUUGGUACCCUAUAAGUUUAAGUGUCAUGAUUUAGUUUCAUUUCACAAAUUUCACAACACUUGCAUGAACUGCAAGAUAUGGAUUAUCUAUUUUUUUAUAACGCAGGGAUUGCGAUCCUUUUGUUGCCGCCUAUGCCGAGUAUUUGAGCGAUGGAUUACAAGUACUAAAUGAUGGACUUGAUGCCGGAUUACUCCACAAAAGAUAUGCUGCUCUUUUAUGGAAAUACGGAAAAACGAAAGCUUAGAAGCCAUACGCAACCGACGUUAAAGAUCCAGGACGACCAAAGCCGAAUUUCGUAGCACCGGAUGAAGAAAAACUUCUCCAUAUUGAUUUGAUAUUUAUAGCUUGAGUCCGUCAAUGUAAUAACCUAUCCUCCUUGAUUUAACUUGUUGAUUUAUUUGUAGAGUAGAUCAUUUGUACC